RNAcentral lists this ribosomal RNA (486 nucleotides) under uncultured bacterium. RNAcentral's name for it is "partial 16S ribosomal RNA". It matches the Rfam family "Bacterial small subunit ribosomal RNA", at positions 30 to 507 of the family's 1533-position model. The record is from RNAcentral.
AUUGAACGCUGGCGGCAUGCCUUACACAUGCAAGUCGAACGGCAGCACGGGUGCUUGCACCUGGUGGCGAGUGGCGAACGGGUGAGUAAUACAUCGGAACAUGUCCUGUAGUGGGGGAUAGCCCGGCGAAAGCCGGAUUAAUACCGCAUACGAUCUACGGAUGAAAGCGGGGGACCUUCGGGCCUCGCGCUAUAGGGUUGGCCGAUGGCUGAUUAGCUAGUUGGUGGGGUAAAGGCCUACCAAGGCGAAGAUCAGUAGCUGGUCUGAGAGGACGACCAGCCACACUGGGACUGAGACACGGCCCAGACUCCUACGGGAGGCAGCAGUGGGGAAUUUUGGACAAUGGGCGAAAGCCUGAUCCAGCAAUGCCGCGUGUGUGAAGAAGGCCUCCGGGUUGUAAAGCACUUUUGUCCGGAAAGAAAUCCUUGGCCCUAAUACGGUCGGGGGAUGACGGUACCGGAAGAAUAAGCACCGGCUAACUACGUG